Molecule: non-coding RNA, 73 nt
Organism: Anaeramoeba ignava
Lineage: Eukaryota; Anaeramoebidae
Source: the annotation of a GenBank genome assembly
GAGCCUAUAGCACAAAUGGUAGUGCGUUUGACUCCAGAUCAAAAGGUUGAGGGUUCAAGUCCUUCUAGGCUCA